UCCUGCACAGGAGAGUAUGUGGGAACAAUAAUCUAUCGAGGCAGGAGGAGUUUGGAUUAGAGCAUUCUGAUGUCAUUUCUGUUGACAAACCUACCAGGCAUCCAAAGCAUCCAUCAUCCUCUACAGUUGGACGAUCAGCUGCAGGAACCAGACCAGAAACCCCUCCUCCCUUACUGCAUAACUCACAGAACUUCUCUUUCUCUCUCUCUCUGGGUGUCUGGACUGGAAGUCAAUUGUUUCACACAAACCAUAACAUGAUAUGUCUGCUGUCAACUGGUUCACUGAUAAUGCUUUACGUCGAGGUUCCCACAAGAAGCAUUACAAAAUGCAUCAAGUAAUGAGGAAAAAAUGUGUUUAUGUUAAACUGCAGUGCAGUGAAAAGCUCAGAGGUUGUUUAUGUAAUGUAAUGAUUUAUGUUUUGCGCUUCCUUGAACAUUUACCAUAUACCUUAAGCACUGACACAAGUCAUAUUAUGUGCUAUAGACUCUAUUACUGUUAACUAAGGCAUUUCAUUUUGUAUUGUUAAUGGAACCUAAAUGUAAAGCACUCUUGAUUCAGUUAAGACUUUAGAAAGUGAUAAAAAAAACAAGACAUAAAGAACAUUUCUGAUCCUAUUUUAGAAGAAAAUCUGGUAGUACAAGUUAGAAAUUAUCAUUAUAUGUUGCGAGUAGCUUAUAGAUAUAUAUUAUUAUUAUUAUUAUUAUUAUAUAUAUAAAGUGUCUUAUUUUUCAUUGUGGUAUCUGCCAAUGAGACACAGGGUCCAAUUAACUCUAAACCCAUGUCAUUUUGAUGAGGUAAAUCCCAUAUGGAUUAAAAUUUUAAUUAAAUUGAGUGCAAAGCAUUGUUGUUAGGAUAAAACUAAACUUCAUCAAAAUAUUAAUAUCACAUUUCAACAUUGGCCUAUACAAUUGCCACACAUUAAUACUAAAACUGAAUUUGUUGCUUUAAGAAACUUUAAAAUGUCCAAUCUAAUUGAACUUGUGACAAAACCCAUACAUUUUUACUGUAAAUAGAUUUGGUUUCCCCUCUGAUCAAAUAUACAAAUUGAAUGAUACAAAUUGAGGGAUUAGCUUUUGUUAGUUUGAUGAAUUUCAAUUUGAUACAUUUCAUACAUGCUCUAGCCCUUUCCCCAAAGUUCUGUACCUCCACUGGUACUGUUCUGAGCUGUGAUACGUAUAUACCAUCAAGAUUACAGAGUAGAACACUGCUUCCUGUAAGACCUGUGCAGCCCAGUUUCAUCACCAGAGGAUGUUAAAUAAACAACAGUAA
Long non-coding RNA from Clupea harengus (Atlantic herring), 1269 nucleotides. RefSeq lists it as uncharacterized. The transcript is spliced from 3 exons. The record is from RefSeq and is a predicted model, not a curated record. NCBI's taxonomy places the organism in Eukaryota, Metazoa, Chordata, Actinopteri, Clupeiformes, Clupeidae.